Transfer RNA from Dacryopinax sp., 72 nucleotides. It matches the Rfam family "tRNA". Rfam says of the family: Transfer RNA (tRNA) molecules are approximately 80 nucleotides in length. The record is from Rfam. Lineage: Eukaryota; Fungi; Basidiomycota; Dacrymycetes; Dacrymycetales; Dacrymycetaceae.
UCCGAGGUAGUGUAAUGGAACACAUUUAGCAUAAUAUGUGAAAACUCCUGGGUUCAAAUCCCAGUCUCGGAA